RNAcentral lists this ribosomal RNA (482 nucleotides) under uncultured bacterium. RNAcentral describes it as "partial 16S ribosomal RNA". It matches the Rfam family "Bacterial small subunit ribosomal RNA", at positions 30 to 507 of the family's 1533-position model. The record is from RNAcentral.
AUUGAACGCUGGCGGCAUGCCUUACACAUGCAAGUCGAACGGUAACGGGCCUUCGGGUGCCGACGAGUGGCGAACGGGUGAGUAAUACAUCGGAACGUGCCCGAUCGUGGGGGAUAACGAGGCGAAAGCUUUGCUAAUACCGCAUACGAUCUACGGAUGAAAGCAGGGGACCGCAAGGCCUUGCGCGGACGGAGCGGCCGAUGGCAGAUUAGGUAGUUGGUGGGAUAAAAGCUUACCAAGCCGGCGAUCUGUAGCUGGUCUGAGAGGAUGAUCAGCCGCACUGGGACUGAGACACGGCCCAGACUCCUACGGGAGGCAGCAGUGGGGAAUUUUGGACAAUGGGCGCAAGCCUGAUCCAGCCAUGCCGCGUGCAGGAUGAAGGCCUUCGGGUUGUAAACUGCUUUUGUACGGAACGAAAAGCCUUCUUUUAAUACAGGAGGGUCAUGACGGUACCGUAAUAAUAAGCACCGGCUAACUACGUG